Molecule: ribosomal RNA, 253 nt
Filed under: uncultured bacterium
Lineage: Bacteria
Description: partial 16S ribosomal RNA
Rfam family: Bacterial small subunit ribosomal RNA
Source: RNAcentral
UACAGAGGCCCCAAGCGUUACUGAGAACCACUGGGUUUAAAGGGUGCGUAGGUGGCGCGUUAAGUCCGUUGUGAAAUCCCUGGGCUCAACCCAGGAAUUGCUUCGGAUACUGGCGUGCUUGAGGCUAGUAGGGGUCACUGGAACUGACGGUGGAGCGGUGAAAUGCGUAGAUAUCGUCAGGAACGCCGAUGGUGAAGACAGGUGACUGGGCUAGUUCUGACACUGAGGCACGAAAGCGUGGGGAGCGAACGGG